UCCGGUUUGUCACCGGCAGUCUCAUUAGAGUGCCCAACUGAAUGUAGCAACUAAUGACAAGGGUUGCGCUCGUUGCGGGACUUAACCCAACAUCUCACGACACGAGCUGACGACAGCCAUGCAGCACCUGUGUUCCCGUUCCCUUUCGGGCACAGCCCCAUUUCUGGGGCCUCCAGGACAUGUCAAGGGUAGGUAAGGUUUUUCGCGUUGCUACCAUUCAGUUGAGCACUCUAGAGAGACUGCCCGUGUUAAACAGGAGGAAGGUGGGGAUGACGUGUCUAGGAGGGUG
This 289-nucleotide unclassified non-coding RNA is filed under the name uncultured Gammaproteobacteria bacterium. RNAcentral's name for it is "contains 16S-23S intergenic spacer region". The record is from RNAcentral. Lineage: Bacteria; Pseudomonadati; Pseudomonadota; Gammaproteobacteria.